RNAcentral lists this long non-coding RNA (551 nucleotides) under Anser brachyrhynchus (Pink-footed goose). RNAcentral describes it as "lncRNA (ENSABRG00000004501.1)". The record is from RNAcentral. Lineage: Eukaryota; Metazoa; Chordata; Aves; Anseriformes; Anatidae.
GGUGGAGUCACCAUCCCUGGAGGUCUUUAAAAGACGUUUAGAUGUAGAGCUUAGGGAUAUGGUUUAGUGGAGUACUUAGUGUUAGGUCGGAGGUUGGACUCGAUGAUCUUGAGGUCUCUUCCAACCUAGAGAAAUCUGUGAAUCUGUGAAGAUGACUUGUUAAAAUACAGGCACCAAUUUCUCUGCUUCUGGUGUUCACUAAAGCUCAGACACUGGGAUUUCAUUGCUGGGCAAAUCCAGGAACAUUGGUAAUUUUGUGGCUCAAUACAGUAGAGACCAACACCCGAAGUGCUUCAUGUUAAGUCUUCUGAGCAGUGUGGACAACACAGAUCUUGGAUGAGCAAGUAGAAAUAGUUUGCAGGAUAUACAGGGAGAAAGCCUAUAGUGAAGAAAAGACACUAAAUAUUGACAUGCCAUUGAAUCAAAAUAAUUCAGUAUCUAUACAACAUCAGUAUUGUAAUCAUAAUAAGACAUACAGAAAUAUUAAAAUUUUAAUUGAUCCAGUUGUAUCAUUAUUAUCCUUCAAACCCAAAUGGACCAGGUAUCACUGA